Xenopus laevis (African clawed frog) is the source of this 1040-nucleotide long non-coding RNA. RefSeq lists it as uncharacterized. The transcript is spliced from 7 exons. Lineage: Eukaryota; Metazoa; Chordata; Amphibia; Anura; Pipidae. The record is from RefSeq and is a predicted model, not a curated record.
UACUAGAAAAAUAUUUAUCAAAAUACUCUAUUUCCGUGGUGCCAUUGAUUUGGCUCGGAUUAAAGGUGUCGAGAUUGCGAUCACUGAUCUCAGCAAUGCUUGCAGGAACAGAUACCCCUUCCAGGAACAUGGGGAUAUGGUCUUUUUCCGUGCCUAGAAGGUUCCUCGAUUGAAGAUUCUGGAGCCCAAAAACAGUUUCGUAUCGCUUAUCUUCAAUCCCAGGGAAAAGGAAGAGGUGAAGCGAGUGCAGACGGAAGCCGGUUAGUCCCAAGUCAGUGAAACAUCAAAGCCAGAGGAGAAGAGAAGAAUCAAGUCUAGGAUGGAGCCAAGUUGUAGCUUUAAAUUGGUUCCAACGAAAUGAGAACUUUGCCAAAGUCAGGAGCAGAACAGGAGGGAGUGGAACUUGAAAAUACUCUGUUUCCGUGGUGCCAUUGAUUUGGCUCAGAUUAAAGAUGUCGAGAUUGCGAUCACUGAUCUCAGCAAUGCUUGCUGGAACAGAUACCCCUUCCAGGAACAUGGGGAUAUGGUCUUUUUUUCUGUGCCUAGAAGGUGCAUCGAUUGAAGAUUCUGGAGCCCAAUAGCAGUUUCAUAUCCCUUAUCUUCAAUCCCAGGGAAAAGGAAGAGGUGAAGCGAGUGCAGACGGAAGCCGGUCAGUCCCAGGAAGUCGGUGAAACAUCAAAGCCAGAGGAGAAGAAUCAAGUCUAGGAAGCAGCCAAGUCGUAGUUUUAAGUUGUUUCCAACGAAGCGAGAACUUUGCCAAAGGAGGGAGCAGAACAUGAGGGAGCGGAACAUGGCGAGUAUCUUCUGAGUCGCCAACGAUACCGCGCUUGCUAAUUCGCCUGCGCACCCCAGAUACAGCUGCAGAGGCAUGUGUAUGAACUAACUUCAUUUUGGGGUGUCUAAACGCCAGAUACUUUAUUAAUCCUAUGUACAAUGGGCAUCAAACUGUUCAGUGGACCCCUGGAAUUCAUAUUAUAUAUCAUCUGUUAUACAGAUAACUAGAAUCUCUGCUGCCAUAAAGCAGGCCAGGACUCUCUGUA